RNAcentral lists this ribosomal RNA (500 nucleotides) under uncultured bacterium. RNAcentral's name for it is "partial 16S ribosomal RNA". It matches the Rfam family "Bacterial small subunit ribosomal RNA", at positions 30 to 523 of the family's 1533-position model. The record is from RNAcentral.
AUUGAACGCUGGCGGCAGGCCUAACACAUGCAAGUCGAGCGGAUGACGGGAGCUUGCUCCUUGAUUCAGCGGCGGACGGGUGAGUAAUGCCUAGGAAUCUGCCUGGUAGUGGGGGACAACGUUUCGAAAGGAACGCUAAUACCGCAUACGUCCUACGGGAGAAAGCAGGGGACCUUCGGGCCUUGCGCUAUCAGAGGAGCCUAGGUCGGUUUAGCUAGUUGGGGGGGUAAUGGCUCACCAAGGCGACGAUCCGUAACUGGUCUGAGAGGAUGAUCAGUAACACUGGAACUGAGACACGGUCCAGACUCCUACGGGAGGCAGCAGUGGGGAAUAUUGGACAAUGGGCGAAAGCCUGAUCCAGCCAUGCCGCGUGUGUGAAGAAGGUCUUCGGAUUGUAAAGCACUUUAAGUUGGGAGGAAGGGCAGUAAGUUAAUACCUUGCUGUUUUGACGUUACCGACAGAAUAAGCACCGGCUAACUCUGUGCCAGCCGCCGCCGUAA